Molecule: ribosomal RNA, 231 nt
Filed under: uncultured bacterium
Lineage: Bacteria
Description: partial 16S ribosomal RNA
Rfam family: Bacterial small subunit ribosomal RNA
Source: RNAcentral
GCCUACGGGGGGCAGCAGUGGGGGAUAUUGCACAAUGGGGGGAACCCUGAUGCAGCGACGCCGCGUGGGUGAAGAAGCGCCCCGGCGCGUAAAGCCCUGUCAGCAGGGAAGAAGAAGGACGGUACCUGACCAAGAAGCCCCGGCUAACUACGUGCCAGCAGCCGCGGUAAUACGUAGGGGGCAAGCGUUAUCCGGAUUUACUGGGUGUAAAGGGGGCGCGGGCGGCGAUGC